Hydractinia symbiolongicarpus is the source of this 496-nucleotide long non-coding RNA. RefSeq lists it as uncharacterized. The transcript is spliced from 2 exons. The record is from RefSeq and is a predicted model, not a curated record. Lineage: Eukaryota; Metazoa; Cnidaria; Hydrozoa; Anthoathecata; Hydractiniidae.
UACAAGUAGGCUGUUCAGUCACGUGACUUUUUGCCGUGUUCGGAAAUUCAGCUUAAAACAAGCUCGCACACGGCAACGCGUAUUUUGUUAUUGCGCGUGAUGGCACUUAUUUUAAAUCGUCGAAUUCGGCACCUAUUUCGCUUAAGACAGAUGGUGUAUGGGCAGAUAGUGAUUGUUAAGUACCUUAAAUUUGUUUUUUUGAAUGAGACUUGUUUAAACGACCAACAGUGUAUUCAGAUUUCGACGAGGGAAAUGUAAACUUGGCGCAAACAGAGGAAAGUGCAUGACGUAUCAGUCUUGGAAUGAUGGCUAUUAAUCAUGGCUAUGUGCUAGAUAUUCCAGUUAACAUUAGACACAGCUACUAAACUAAAGCACCAAAGCUAGCUAGCUACCUAGCUAUAUAUAUAUUAGCCGAAGUAGUGGACCAGAAGAUGGAGUGUGUGAUGUUGUGUUUAAUUAUUCCAUACCACUGUGUGGUUAAUAGAUAAAGGUAUAU